AGUGAACGCUGGCGGUAGGCCUAACACAUGCAAGUCGAACGGCAGCACAGUAAGAGCUUGCUCUUACGGGUGGCGAGUGGCGGACGGGUGAGGAAUACAUCGGAAUCUACUUUUUCGUGGGGGAUAAAGUAGGGAAACUUACGCUAAUACCGCAUACGACCUACGGGUGAAAGCAGGGGAUCUUCGGACCUUGCGCGAUUGAAUGAGCCGAUGUCGGAUUAGCUAGUUGGCGGGGUAAAGGCCCACCAAGGCGACGAUCCGUAGCUGGUCUGAGAGGAUGAUCAGACACACUGGGACUGAGACACGGUCCAGACUCCUACGGGAGGCAGCAGUAGGGAAUAUUGGACGAUGGGCGCAAGGCUGAUCCAGCCAUGCCGCGUGGGUGAAGAAGGCAUUCGGGUUGUAAAGCCCUUUUGUUAGGAAAGAAAAGCAGCAGGUUAAUACGCCGCUGUUCUGACGGUACCCAAAGAAUAAGCACCGGCUAACUUCGUG
This 492-nucleotide ribosomal RNA is filed under the name uncultured bacterium. RNAcentral describes it as "partial 16S ribosomal RNA". It matches the Rfam family "Bacterial small subunit ribosomal RNA", at positions 29 to 507 of the family's 1533-position model. The record is from RNAcentral.